AGGGUUCGAUUCUGGCUCAGGAUGAACGCUGGCGGCGUGCUUAACACAUGCAAGUUGCGCGGUGAUCUCAAGAAGUUUCGGACGGAAAGGGAGAGCAGCAGCGGACGGGUGAGUAAAGCACAAGGACUUGUCCCGAAGAGGGGGACAACUGUGGGAAACCACAGCUAAUACCCCAUAAGCCGAGAGGUGAAAGCAGUAAUGCGCUUUAGGAGAGACUUGUGUCCUAUCAGGUAGUUGGUGAGGUAACGGCUCACCAAGCCGAAGACGGGUAGCCGGACUGAGAGGUUGUACGGCCACAUUGGAACUGAGAGACGGUCCAGACUCCUACGGGAGGCAGCAGUGGGGAAUAUUGGGCAAUGGGGGCAACCCUGACCCAGCGACGCCGCGUGAGGGAAGACAGCCUUCGGGUUGUAAACCUCUGUUGCAGGGGAAGAAGAAAGUGACGGUACCCUGCGAGGAAGCUCCGGCAAACUACGUGCCAGCCGCCGC
This 489-nucleotide ribosomal RNA is filed under the name uncultured bacterium. RNAcentral describes it as "bacterial SSU rRNA". It matches the Rfam family "Bacterial small subunit ribosomal RNA", at positions 8 to 518 of the family's 1533-position model. The record is from RNAcentral.